RNAcentral lists this ribosomal RNA (756 nucleotides) under Dietzia sp. Its description in RNAcentral is "bacterial SSU rRNA". It matches the Rfam family "Bacterial small subunit ribosomal RNA", at positions 80 to 851 of the family's 1533-position model. The record is from RNAcentral. Lineage: Bacteria; Bacillati; Actinomycetota; Actinomycetes; Mycobacteriales; Dietziaceae.
UCGGGGGUACACGAGUGGCGAACGGGUGAGUAACACGUGGGUAAUCUGCCCUGCACUUCGGGAUAAGCCUGGGAAACUGGGUCUAAUACCGGAUAUGAACUCCUGCCGCAUGGUGGGGGUUGGAAAGUUUUUCGGUGCAGGAUGAGCCCGCGGCCUAUCAGCUUGUUGGUGGGGUAAUGGCCUACCAAGGCGACGACGGGUAGCCGGCCUGAGAGGGUGAUCGGCCACACUGGGACUGAGACACGGCCCAGACUCCUACGGGAGGCAGCAGUGGGGAAUAUUGCACAAUGGGCGAAAGCCUGAUGCAGCGACGCCGCGUGGGGGAUGACGGUCUUCGGAUUGUAAACCCCUUUCAGUAGGGACGAAGCGCAAGUGACGGUACCUGCAGAAGAAGCACCGGCUAACUACGUGCCAGCAGCCGCGGUAAUACGUAGGGUGCGAGCGUUGUCCGGAAUUACUGGGCGUAAAGAGCUCGUAGGCGGUUUGUCACGUCGUCUGUGAAAUCCCUCGGCUUAACCGGGGGCGUGCAGGCGAUACGGGCAGACUUGAGUACUACAGGGGAGACUGGAAUUCCUGGUGUAGCGGUGAAAUGCGCAGAUAUCAGGAGGAACACCGGUGGCGAAGGCGGGUCUCUGGGUAGUAACUGACGCUGAGGAGCGAAAGCAUGGGUAGCGAACAGGAUUAGAUACCCUGGUAGUCCAUGCCGUAAACGGUGGGCGCUAGGUGUGGGGUCCUUCCACGGACUCCGUGCCGUAG